Molecule: transfer RNA, 66 nt
Filed under: Psammophis lineolatus
Lineage: Eukaryota; Metazoa; Chordata; Lepidosauria; Squamata
Description: tRNA-Asp
Source: RNAcentral
GAGAACCUAGUAAAACCCAAUUACAUGGCUUUGUCAUAGCCAAGUUACAUCCACAUGUGGCUCUCA